This 26-nucleotide small RNA is filed under the name Arabidopsis thaliana (thale cress). RNAcentral's name for it is "ATSL236190". The record is from RNAcentral. Lineage: Eukaryota; Viridiplantae; Streptophyta; Magnoliopsida; Brassicales; Brassicaceae.
AUUGCUUCUUCUUCUUCUUCUUCCAU